CAACUAGGAUGUUAGCUCAGAAGCAGCUAUCAUUCAAAGAGUGCGUAAUAGCUCACUAGUCGAGUGACCCUGCGCCGAAAAUGUACCGGGGCUAAACAUAUUACCGAAGCUUUGGAUUGAUAUUUUAUCAAUGGUAGGAGAGCGUUCUUAACCGCGAUGAAGGUAUACCGUGAGGAGUGCUGGAGCGUUAAGAAGUGAGAAUGCCGGUAUGAGUAGCGCAAGAUAAGUGAGAAUCUUAUCCACCGUAAGACUAAGGUUUCCAGGGGAAGGCUCGUCCGCCCUGGGUUAGUCGGGACCUAAGGCGAGGCCGAAAGGCGUAGUCGAUGGACAACUGGUUGAUAUUCCAGUACUAGAUAUGAUCGUGAUGGAGGGACGCAGUAGGCUAAGAGAUGCCAGUUAAUGGAUUCUGGUCUAAGCAGUGAGGUGUGAGAUGUGUCAAAUGCAUUUCUCUCUAACAUUGAGCUGUGAUGGGGAAGCAACUACGGUUGCGAACUCUCUGAUGUCACACUGCCAAGAAAAGCUUCUAGCGUAAAGUCAUAUCUACCCGUACCGCAAACCGACACAGGUAGUCGAGGCGAGUAGCCUCAGGUGAUCGAGAGAACUCUCGUUAAGGAACUCGGCAAAAUAGCCCCGUAACUUCGGGAGAAGGGGUGCUGGUGUAAAAGCCAGCCGCAGUGAAUAGGCCCAAGCAACUGUUUAUCAAAAACACAGCUCUCUGCUAAACCGCAAGGUGAUGUAUAGGGGGUGACGCCUGCCCGGUGCUGGAAGGUUAAGAGGAGUGC
RNAcentral lists this ribosomal RNA (782 nucleotides) under Staphylococcus cohnii. RNAcentral describes it as "partial 23S ribosomal RNA". It matches the Rfam family "Bacterial large subunit ribosomal RNA", at positions 1090 to 1889 of the family's 2925-position model. Lineage: Bacteria; Bacillati; Bacillota; Bacilli; Caryophanales; Staphylococcaceae. The record is from RNAcentral.